RNAcentral lists this ribosomal RNA (609 nucleotides) under uncultured bacterium. RNAcentral's name for it is "bacterial SSU rRNA". It matches the Rfam family "Bacterial small subunit ribosomal RNA", at positions 60 to 650 of the family's 1533-position model. The record is from RNAcentral.
AGUCGUGCGAGAAGGAGGCUUCGGUCUCUGAGUAGAGCGGCGCACGGGUGAGUAACGCGUGGAUGAUCUACCCUUGAGUUCGGGAUAACGGUGCGAAAGCGCCGCUAAUACCGUAUAACAAUCCAUUUCAUCGUGGGUUCAAAGCAGGCCUCUUCAUGAAAGCUUGCGCUUGGGGAUGAGUCCGCGUCCCAUUAGCUUGUUGGCGGGGUAACGGCCCACCAAGGCAACGAUGGGUAGCUGGUCUGAGAGGAUGAUCAGCCACACUGGAACUGAAACACGGUCCAGACUCCUACGGGAGGCAGCAGUGGGGAAUAUUGCGCAAUGGGGGAAACCCUGACGCAGCGACGUCGUGUGAGGGAAGAAGGCCUUCGGGUCGUAAACCUCUGUCAGAAGGGAAGAACAUCCGGGAGUCGAACAGCCUCCCGGCCUGACGGUACCUUCAGAGGAAGCGCCGGCUAACUCCGUGCCAGCAGCCGCGGUAAUACGGAGGGCGCAAGCGUUAAUCGGAAUCACUGGGCGUAAAGCGUGCGUAGGCUGCUUGAUAAGUCAGACGUGAAAUCCCUCGGCUCAACCGGGGAACUGCGUUUGAUACUGUCGAGCUAGAGUCCU